This 5226-nucleotide long non-coding RNA is filed under the name Apis mellifera (honey bee). RNAcentral's name for it is "uncharacterized LOC113218886, transcript variant X1". Lineage: Eukaryota; Metazoa; Arthropoda; Insecta; Hymenoptera; Apidae. The record is from RNAcentral.
UGUGUGUGUGUGUGUGUGUGUGUGUGUGUGUGUGUGUGUGUGUGUGUGUGUGUGUGUGGUGUGUGUGUGUGUGUGUGUGUGUGUGUGUGUGUGUGUGAAAUCGGCAAAAGAAGAGACGUAGAAAGAAUACGAAAUGAGGUUUCCUUCUGUUCGGCGGAGAGAUCUCCCUUUCACACGGGAUAAAAGGCAGGCGCCCCCUCCCCCCUCUCCGUAUCAACAAGAUCGCGACGUCAAAACGUCUUUCAAACGGGUAAAAGCGUGCAGCGAGGGGGAAAGAGCGUCGCGAGAGGAGAGGAUAGGAAUAGGGAAACGAACGCGGUAGAGACAACAAUUAUCUUAGCCAAAGGCAAAGAGAAAGGUUUCUAUCUCGUCGUGGCGAGUCACGAGAGAGGUGAACCGUGACGAUCUCUUUCUCGAACGCGCGGAAUCGUCGAGGUGAAAAAGAAAGAAAAAAAAGUCAAGAGAUUCUUUUUUUCUUUUCUCACGAACGAUUCGUUUUUUGGAAUAAAAAAAAGAAAAUUCUGUUUUUCGUUAACUGGAUUAAUUGUUACGAUACAAUAUUUGAUACGACAAGUACAGUAACGAUCCUAAUUUCACGGUAUAAAGAAUAUAAAGAUAGGACUGAGGGACGUCGUCUAAUUUAUCCCUGGCAAGGAUUCAAUGAAUGGUAUUAUAAAUUUCGCGGUAUGGUAUGUAAUUGUAAAUGUGUUUGUACUUGGCCUAGAAAGGUGUUUGAAAAAUAAAUCGAUCGAUCGAGCGAUCCCUCUCUUUGAAAUCGAUCGAUGCAGGCAAAUUUGUUGUGCUGGCGAGCGAAUCCGCUCGAAAAAUUUUAUAACAGAAAGCCAUUUUUGUGAAUGGAACAUUAUCGAAGUAUUCGUAUUUUUUUCUAAGACAAUAAGCAAAUUUUUAAACUUAAAUUUUAUCCUCCCCAUUUGAUGAAUUUUUUUAACCGUUUAAUAAAAUAUUAUCUCUUUCACUCGAUCGAAGCGAAAAAUUCCAAGGAGAAUUAUGAAGAAGAUAUUACUUCAUGCCUCUGUACAGUCACGAAACAACGUCCUCGUUCUCUUCUUCUUAACGAGCUUCUUAACGUCACGAACGUAACUAUAACCAAGUAUCGCGGCAGUUAUUCUCUCAAAAGAAACUCGUAUAUGUAUAUAAUAGUACAUAUAUGCACACGUGCUUCUUAGCAUAUGGACUGUGAAACGGUAGGCUAAUCGUUUGCAAGUUUGCAACUCACCAUCUCAACUAUAAACAAAUGUAUACAUAAUAACUAUAACAGUUUUUUUGCAUGCCAAUUGAUCAAUAUUACGUUAUAUUUCAUUUUAUAGUAUGAAAAUUUGAUUGUGAUUGAAAAUGAAAUAAAAAAAAAUACUCUUUGUGGAUCCAAGUCGACCUAACCUAAAUCGAAGAAGAUGGUCGACAAAGUUUCGAGCAUCGUAAAUACAACGCAGGGAGUAACGUGUUACAUGCAAGAUUAAACGGAAGAUUAAUUCUGUGUUCGAUGCUUGCACACGUGAAACGUCUUGCUAUCUGUUCGAUGGAUCGUAGAUUUCUGUGAAACGUUACGCUGAAUUAAUUUGAUCCAGGUAUCAUCACUAUAAAUAACAGACCACUCGAAUUCGCCAGAGAUUCUAACAGUAAUUACCAUCAAAGAGGAUCUUUGAAGUUUGUUCGAGCGUUUGAGAAAUCGUUUGAUGCGGUGUUAAUUGGAAUCAAAGUUUUCGCCAAGUCUUAAGAAUCGUUUACGAGGAUUAAUUUUAAUCUCACCGCGACCCAUUUUCUUUUCAAAUUGUCGUAUAAGUAAUGUGGAGCAAUUACGCGAAGAUGCGUGACCGUGUAAAUUAAUUAUUUCUCCCGAUCAAUAAUAUUUCUGUUUACUUUCCAUUUUCUACGUCGUAUUAAAUUGCUCGUUCCUUUUUUCUUUUCUAUUUUAACAUUUUUUCCCCCCUGAUUUUUAAUAUCCUUUAAUAAAAAUAAAAAGAAAAAAUAUUUAUCAAUAAAAGAAAAACAAUUGCAAUUUUUCUUAAAGUUCUUCUUUUGUUUUUUUAUUAGAGAUUAAAAUCGCAUAGAAGACCAUAAACCAAAUAAAGCAUUCUAAAAAGAUAAAAAGAGGGAAAGAAAUUUUGAAACGAGUAACAAUAUUCUCGACUGAUUCAUCCUCCACGCAAAGUGUAAAACAUUUUCGAAAGAAGAGCGCGGGAGCAUUUAUUUCGAACGAUACUUGUCUAUUUGUGGCUAAGCCGUCCCUGAGCGCCGGUUACGUCACCACGGCCACGUGACUCGUUGAAUCUCAUAAUGGUCCAUAUUCGCCUCCCACGUAUCGAUGCGAAACGACGAUCCAUCAUCGAUUCCGUACACCUGCUUGCUUCUUCCGAUCGUUUGAUCGAAAGAAAUGGGUCGAAAUCUGAUUUUGAGAUUUCCGAUUUACGCUAAAACUGGGUUUAGAAAAUAUCGAAACACGGAUACCUUUCUGAGGAAGAUUCAAAAGUUUUUUUAAGAAAUCUUAAAGUUUCAAGUAAAUCCUUAAUUAAAAUUAUCCAACGAUUCAAUAUAUCUUUUACUUACUCUUUAUAUAAUGCAAUUUUUCACGAACAUAUUUACGUUCUCCUUUGUUUAACGAGCAACGGAUAACCUAACCUAAAAAAAUCUUUUACAUCGAAACGAAGCGAGAAGAAAUUCGAGUGGAAUGAUUUUAAAAGUGUGUGUUUAUGUUAUUUAUUUAAAUUAUUUUUAUUCGCUAUAAAACGAUAUAAAUGAUAUAUUUCGUGUUUUUAUGCGUGAUAUUUAGAUUCGAUAUUUCAAAAAUUAGAUAUUUUUCUAACCGUUCAAUCGUUUAAAUUGUAGACACUAUUUUAGGAACACACGGCUUGCAAGACUUGGUUUCCACAUGCUCUCGACACUGUUUGAAUGAUUUAUAACAUUUAACCAACAUAGACCUUGACGGCUAACCUUCUCCGCAUUAUUUUAAAAGCUUCCGAUAGAUUUCUGAUACUUGCACGCUUCGCUUCUAAACGCCUGUAUGUUAAUAGUAUAUUUCAUAUUUCAUGGAAACUCAAGAAAGUUGCACGAAAGUUAUAUUAUUUCUCCUCUCAUUAUACACGUAAGAUUAUAUAACACAAAAUUUUUCUUUACAAAGUUGGCAAUCGUGAAAUAUCAUGAAAGCAAUUGUAUAUCCAAUUUAAAUUUAUUUUAAUGAAAAUUUUAAAUCUAUUUGCACGAGAAUAGAAUUGAUGAAAAUAUAUGAUAAAAAUGUAUUGAAUUUUUGGAAGCAAACGAUUCAUGCAUAUUCGAAACGAAACCGUACGACCAUCUAUAUAGCUGCCAUAGUACAUGCCAGUGUUUUUCAACCUUUAUUGACGUGAUUCGAGCAACUUGCGAUCUCCUUCGAUGUCAGUUUGCGAUCCACAGGUUGGGAAUCACUGGUGUAUACAAAAGUUUACGCUACGCCUGGAGAGAAGCCAAACGAAAAACGCAAAAAUGCAAAUCUGUCUUUGUGCAUGGCCACCUACCGAAGUUUGAUCACCGUUUUGUGAUCCGGUGGAUAUACAUUCCGGUCGAUUAUGUCCAUUAUCCACAAUUUACCGAAAAUGAAACGAAAAGAAGUUGGAGAGGAACGGAUUCGAUACGUCGGCUGCAACGAGGUUAGAAAACUUACUGCGCAAAAUAUUAUCGCGGGAUCAACGCAAGCUCCUCACCUUUUCCACACGUUGCAAUUGCAAUUUAGUUCACGAUUCCGAGUGGGGACACACUGCGACGUGUCAUUGUCAAGGAUAUACAUUGACGCAACAAACAUGUCCUCCCUAACCUGACCAAUCAUCGCUUUUGCGAGAGAAGAGGAUUUAUUUUAACGAUCUUUUAAAUUCCAUACGAGAGAAUAUACUUAUAUGUGAGUAUACUCGAGUCAUGUAUUGAUGUAUCUUCUUCGAAUAAAUUUAAAUUCUCCGUAGAUUUAAAAAUAUGAAAAAUGUUAUUAUAGAAUCGAAACGCUAUUGUAACGUAUUACGAUAUAUGCAUGCGUAAUCGACACUCGACGCAAUUUAUGCUCAUUCUAGGUUAUGUCAUUUAUAUCACGAAUCGUUUGAAGUGUUUUUUAAUACCCAACGUGAUUAAAUUACAAAUAUUGUAACACGUCGUAAUACAGUAUCGAUUGUUUUUAAUGAGAUUUGAAAAACUUCUCUAUUAAUCGGAAAUGCAAAGUAUAAUACGGUAUUGAAAGGAACGUUUUUUGCUGGGUGACGCGGUAUCACCAAGUAUUUAACGAGAUUACAGGAAGGAACGUGUUCUUUGUCACUGCAACAAGUUGUGUUAAACGGUCACCCAUUAUGCAAUGUAAUAUCGUUCGACUAAUGACCGACAUAUGUCAUUCAUUUACAUAAUGAUUGAUAGAUGAAAAAUUAUUAUAUAUCAUAUCAUAUCAGUGUCUAACCAAUUUCGUGUUUCGAUAAAAUUAUUAUUAAUCUUUUAAAAUAAUUAUAAAUUUUUAAAAUUGUAAUUCAAAUAAAUAACAGUAUAAAAUAACUAAUUUAUUCAAUUUAUUCACAAAAGGAUCUGAUACAAACAAACUGAAGAAUACAUGCAGAAUAUAAUGCUAAAUAAGUAUUUAUCUUUUGAUUUAAUCUAAUCUUGCGCAAUUGAAGUCACUUUUUGAAUUGGACUCGAUUCGAAUCUCGUUUUAACGGAAAACAGAGGAUUAUUUAAUCGAUCCGUUUUACGAGCGCAUAAAAUUCUUUGUUUCUUUACUUAAACACGCCUCGUCCCUUUAUUUAUUUGAAAUUCUCCUAAAAAAAGAUACUCGAAUACAGAACAAAUGAAUGAAAGUGCGCCGACAAAUAAGCAAAUUUUUCGUUCGAUCAUCGAUCGAUAAAUAAAUAAAAAUCUGAGAAAAUUAUGAAAUUUUGCACGACGUGAACUUCGAAUCUGUAGAAUUUUAGUUGAGCUUUAUUUUUCUGUCGAUGAAAUUUUUCGAACGGAGGGGAAAGAAAAAAAAAAUUCCCCAAGGUGGCAAACGAGGAGGGUUCUCCAGAAUUUAUGUUGGAGGGUGAACAAGCACGACCCCGCUGUAAUUCCUGAACCUUCUCUUCGAGGUAGAAAAUUCGGAGGUUCAAAACGAAUGAAAGAUCUUAAAUCUUUGGAAUCGUUAUAUAAAUUUUAUUCGUUAAUUUUAAUUUUAUAUUUCACAAGAAGGGAGAAUUGAGUUGAAUCCUGGAAAAUCGUAUUGUAAAAAAA